GUGGCCCUUGGCCUGCCGGGCCCUGCCGUAGUUGCGCGGCUCGUUGACGCGGUCAACGUUGGUUUCUUCUAUGAUUUCAGGCUCGGUCUGGUGGGGGGAAUGAAAGUGGAUGUCAAAGGCUUUACAAGGCAGCGUUUGAUGGCAUUUGCAAGAUAGCAUUUUGUGGGAAUCCAUAAAAUCAGAGGGUUUUGGGAAAGCUGCAAAAGGCAGGCCUCAGAGACAGCAGAACUGUGAUUAGACAUUAGAGCAGCAGAAACUGGUUUGCAGAAAUCCAGAAAGUAGGACAUUUACAUGAUCAGAGAGGAUAGAAGAAAGUGCAUCAGAAGUGAUUCUCUCUCCUCAUGUGGGGAUACAGAUACCAUAUUUAACAUGUCCAGCAGUCAGCCUUUCAUGGUGCAGCUGGAAUCACUGGAAUCAUUCCUCUACAGGAGUUCACCUGCCUCCCAGCAGUUUCUGUCAUGCCAGGGCUCACUGGCUCAAACAGACUGUGACAAAUUUACACAACACACAGGAAAAAAUGGCACAUGAACAAACAUCAGUGUAUUUAACAAAAAGCACGUGGCUGUGUUAAAGCUUCAGUUUCAUGUUUUCAACGCUUCCUGUGAGCCAUGUGACACAAAAUGAGCAUCCAAAUUAAUGCUUCAAUCAGUCACAGCCACAGCAAUUUGAUGAGGGAACUUUCCAGCUGCCUGGACUAAAUGCAUUCCUCAGCACGGGUCACCAGUGCUCUGUCUGUACCUCCUGCACAGAGUGUGCAGAGCAGGGCUCCCAUGUAAGGACAGGCUCCGUUUCUUACCUUCUCAGUUCACAAUAAACUGGAAAACUGCACAAGGAAAUGGUGCCCCAGGACAUCCAGUAAGAACAUAACCUACAGCUGAGCCAGCCCUUUCUCCUCACUCACCUCUGCAGCCCUGGAAAACCGCUCUUCCAGGGCAGGAUCCGUCAGCCACUGAACUCUACACCUACAGAAACACAUCUGAGCUCAGCUUUUGCCCAUAUUCUGAGCCACCAGUGCUUUUGUAAUUCCCAUUACAGUCCUUUUCAUGCCUGUGCCCCGAGGGUAAUUGCUGCAGCUGCACUGUGUGCAAUGCCCCGUCACCAGCAACACUGGCUGCAGUCCAUUCACACUCAUAGGAAAAUUCUGGUCUGGGCUUUCCAGCAAAUAGGAUGCAAGAUUGCACCUCCAAGGGUGAGGGCCAUUUCCAGGAGAAAGAUGCUUCAGCAUCCCUUUUUCUCUCAUGGACCAACUGAUGUUAGUCCCCCUGAUUACAGUAAGAACCAGAGCCCUCUUGUGCAAGGUGUAGUGGCAAACACACUCUUUUAUCAUCCCUCACACCUCCAGAACUUCCAAAGAAGAGGAAUCUGCACACUGUGCCAUUCCUGGGGUAGACUGGUAUGAUCUUCUCUUUCCAAUGUGCCAGUUUGUGUUUCAGAGAGCACCAGCAACAGAGCACCCACCCACGGCAGCAGCUCAGGCACAAUCAGCACCUGCACUCCCCCCUCAUUUCUAAAAUGGGGUUUUGAAUGCUACUGCUGUGCCAUCCUCAGGAGACAGUGAAGUGUUAAUCAAACAUUGGUAAUGUUAUGCAACAUGCCAACUUCACGUGACAGAUGAGCAAAUUAUGAAUUUCUCUGUUAAAGGCACAGGGAGAUCACCAAAAACAGGCACACACAACAUCUUACAGAUACUAUCCCUGCAAGACCUACAGGGACAAUACACUGGUUCUGCUAUCUCAUGCCCUCUGCAAUAGUUACAUUCAGAUUAAAAUAAUGACAAAAGAGUGACACCACUGUAUUUUGAAAAAGAGCCAAUUCAGAUGCUAACUUCCUGCCUAAAGUCUGCUCUGAGUAUCACCAAUAACAUUACUACCACUUUUUCUGUUUACCUUUGAGAAUUACUCACAAGAACUUGCAACAGUCCCUUCCCUUAUUGUUUUUCUUUCAUUUGUUUGUUUUUAUCACACUGCAUUUUACCAGAGAACAUGUUUUCUAUGGGUUGUAUGAAUUUUCUUCAUAAAGCAGAAGGGACCAGUGAGAGUACAACAAACACCUGGCUCAUUAAAAUGGCCCCUCUGA
Long non-coding RNA from Passer domesticus (house sparrow), 2076 nucleotides. RefSeq lists it as uncharacterized. The record is from RefSeq and is a predicted model, not a curated record. Lineage: Eukaryota; Metazoa; Chordata; Aves; Passeriformes; Passeridae. The transcript is spliced from 3 exons.